CCGUGCUAAGCGGGGAGGUAGCGGUUCCCUGUACUCGAAAUCCGCUUUAUGCGAGGCUGAAUUCCUUUGUCGCGGAUGUUUUUUUGUGAAGUCUGCCCAGAACACGAGGUGUUUGAAGAUUUCGGUCCCAUGCAAUAUGAACCCAUGAACCAUGUCAGGUCCUGACGGAAGCAGCAUUAAGUGGAUUCUCAUAUGUGCCGUGGGGUAGCCGAGAUUUAGCUGUCGAUUCUGGUAACGUUUAUGAUACACAUUCAACACAAAGGUGCAUGG
Molecule: signal recognition particle RNA, 270 nt
Filed under: Staphylococcus felis
Lineage: Bacteria; Bacillati; Bacillota; Bacilli; Caryophanales; Staphylococcaceae
Description: signal recognition particle sRNA large type
Rfam family: Bacterial large signal recognition particle RNA
About the family: The signal recognition particle (SRP) is a universally conserved ribonucleoprotein involved in the co-translational targeting of proteins to membranes. Archaeal SRP consists of a 7S RNA and homologues of the eukaryotic SRP19 and SRP54 proteins. In most bacteria, the SRP consists of a 4.5S RNA and the Ffh protein (a homologue of the eukaryotic SRP54 protein).
Source: RNAcentral